RNAcentral lists this small nuclear RNA (101 nucleotides) under Rhinopithecus roxellana (golden snub-nosed monkey). The record is from RNAcentral. Lineage: Eukaryota; Metazoa; Chordata; Mammalia; Primates; Cercopithecidae.
GUGCUCACUUUGGCAGCAUAUAUACUAAAAUUGGAAUGAUACAGAUAAGAUUAGCAAGGCUAAGAUUAGACAGGUAAAUUCGUGAAGCAUUUCAUUAUUAC